AGAGUUUGAUCAUGGCUCAGGAUGAACGCUGGCGGUGUGCCUUAGGCAUGCAAGUCGAACGGAAAGGCCUCUUCGGAGGUACUCGAGUGGCGAACGGGUGAGUAACACGUGAGAAUUUACCAUUUAGUGGGGGAUAGCCCAGCGAAAGUUGGGGUAAUACCGCAUACGGUCUUCGGAUCAAAGACUUCGGUCGCUGAAUGAGAAGCUCGCGCGCUAUCAGCUUGUUGGUGGGGUAAUGGCCUACCAAGGCGAUGACGGCUAGCCGAUGUGAGAGCAUGAUCGGCCACAAGGCUACUGAGACACGGAGCCUACACCUACGGGUGGCAGCAACCGGGAAUAUUGCGCAAUGGACGAAAGUCUGACGCAGCGACACCGCGUGUGGGAUGACACUCUUCGGAGCGUAAACCACUGUGGCGGGGGAUGAAUUUUUGACAGUACCCCGCUAGAAAGCACCAGCUAACUACGUGCCAGAAGCUUCGGUAAUACGUAGGGUGCGAGCGUUAUCCGGAUUCACUGGGCGUAAAGCGUCCGUCGGCGGUUUGGUAAGUCUCUCGUUUAAGCCCGAGGCUCAACUUCGGAACAGCGAGAGAAACUACUAAACUAGAGUCUGUUCGAGGCAACCAGAAUUCUUGGUGGAGGGGUGAAAUCCGUAGAUAUCAAGAGGAAUACCAUGCGCGAAGGCAGGUUGCUAGAACAGUACUGACGCUCAGGGACGAAAGCUUGGGUAGCAAAAGGGAUUAGAGACCCCUGUAGUCCAAGCCGUAAACGAUGCUCGCUAGUUUCUUGACUCUUCGGAGUUGGGUGACGUAAGCUAACGCGUUAAGCGAGCCGCCUGGGGACUACGACCGCAAGGUUAAAACUCAAAGGAAUUGGCGGGGGAACGCACAACCGGUGGAGCAUGUGGUUUAAUUCGAUACAAAGCGAAAAACCUUACCCGGACUUGACAUGUACCUGCACGGUCUAGGAAACUAGAUCUUCUUCGAGAGUGGUACACAGGUGAUGCAUGGCUGUCGUCAGCUCGUGUCGUGAGACGUCUACUUAAGUGUAGUAACGAGCGCAACCCUUGUCCCGUGUUACAAGUGUCACGGGAGACUGCCUCUGCUUUGCAGGGGAGGAAGGAGAGGACGACGUCAAGUCAGCAUGUCCCUUACGUCCGGGGCUACACACAUCCUACAAUGGAGCCGACAAUGGGUAGCGACGGGGUAACCCCGAGCCAAUCCUCUAAACGGCCCCUCAGUUCGGAUUGCAGGCUGCAAUUUGCCUGCAUGAAGUCGGAAUCGGUAGUAAUCGCAAAUCAGCAGGUUGCGGUGAGUACGUUCUCGUUCCUUGCACACACUGCCCGUCAAGCCAGCAAAGUCAGUAGCGCCCGAAGCGGGUGCCCGGAACUCUUCGGAGGCCGGCCCUUCUACGGCGAGAUUGGCGAUGAGGACUAAGUCGUAACAAGGUA
Molecule: ribosomal RNA, 1447 nt
Filed under: metagenome
Description: bacterial SSU rRNA
Rfam family: Bacterial small subunit ribosomal RNA
Source: RNAcentral